GCUACUCUUUUAAAAGAGUAAAUACUCUAGAUUAAAAUGUUGAAAGAUGAAAAUGGAAUCAAGACAGGAUUUGGAUUGAAAUCAAAUAAAUUAUGCGUGGUUGGCAAAAGACAGGCUGAAUCUUAAAUACGUCCCUUCCAACGAGAUACUGAGCUGAUAAUGUCAGUACAUUUCACAUCCCAAGUUGAUCUUGCCCUAAGUUGAUCUGGUGUGUUUACUGUUUUUUGCCGCUGUUGUCCUGUUUAACAAUUGUGUGUUUAAUUAUUUUUUACUCUUCAGAUAAAAGUUGAUCAUGUCGUUAUAUAUCAUAUCCCAAGUUGGUCAUUAUCGUGUGCCUGUCUAUUUUGGCCGCUUCUGUUCCCUUUCAACGCCAUGGCUGCUUCUGCUCCUGUUCUGCUUCUGAUUUACAGUUGACUGGUCCCUAUUAACUAUUCUCCUUGGUUCAAUCUUGCUUUACAUGAGGGUGUGAAAAGUGGCAGUGAGAAGAAGGGGAAGGAGAAGGCCGUCCACGAGGAGCAACCAAAAAUAAAAUCUGGAAUUUGCAAGACAGAAAAAUCUGAGACAAUGGAGAAGGAUUAAGUUAAUAGGACCACUCAACUGUUGUGAGGAGGCAACGGUUUCCUAGAGACUCUUAAAUUUGUUACCCUGAGAGGCAUUUUAUGUUUAAUUCUAGAUUUCCUCGGGGUUUUCGUACCAUUAUCUGUAUUUCAAAUCUUUUUUUGCCGAGGUUCCGGGCACCGUCUUCUCUCUUUUUUGGUUUACUUGUUUCAAAGGAUCAUUUUCGAAGGUAAAAUUCGUAGUUAUCAUCAUCAUAGGUAAGCCUAAAAGUGAAAGCUUCUCUCUAUUUGUGUACUUGUAACAGUUUGUAAACAUGGAACUUUUCUGGCUGUAGGGGUUGGCAUUGCAUUUAUUAUGUUCCUGGUCGCAAUGCAAGCAUUUUUUUUUUCAGAUUUUCGAAGCUCUCAAUUUUAAAAGGGUUCGCUAGCACUUCAGACAGUUUAACAAUGAUUAAUCUUAAUUUUCACAGAUUUCAGUUUUAGGGUUUACUAAAUGUUUACAGUAAUUUGUUUUGAUGAUGUAGCCUGCUUAACAUCCUGCAAGAUUCGGAAAUGGAGAAACAGGCGACAGUUUUCCAAAUUUCCUUAGACGAAUCUGAGCUACGCGUUUUGGGUUUUAUACGGCCUGCAUUAUGAGGACUACACAUAAAUGUAGAUGAAAUUGCACCAACUAUAAAGUAUGGAAGGAUCUACUACGUCAACAGAAGCACCCAACUAAGAUCUGCCAAAAUCCAAGAGUUGGUGAUUCGGUGAACAUGGUAGUGUUAAUCAUUUGUCGAAGGACCUGACGUUGGAUCUUGAGUUUUGAACCUUCACGCUCAGAUAUAAACAAUACUGCUUAUUUUUGAGUAAAACGGCAUGAAUGAGGUGACAGAUAUGGUUCCCAUAGUCUAUGCUGACUCCUGAGUGUCAUAUGUUUAUCUCAUUCUCUAGGGUUUCUAGGCAAUGUCCUAAUUGCAGUUGUGAACCCAUCAAUACACCAGGAAGAGAUGGAUGAUAAUAUUGCUGCUCAUGCUAAACAGGCGUUCUCUCAUGUUGAAAAUAAUCCCAACUACCCCACUUAAUUUACCAUGCCUAUACCCUCCGUAUGGUCAUCCAUAUCUGCAGAUAAUCCUCAGCAUUAAAUGGAAAUGCUCAGAGCUGAUCUUCAUUGGAUUUGAAUGGAUAUUUCUUGGAUCCUCAACCUGUUAUGUAUCACGUCAAUUGUCCUCUCAUGUUUCGCAUUAAUGUAAAAAUAUUACUUUUAAGUUA
Molecule: long non-coding RNA, 1808 nt
Organism: Cryptomeria japonica (Japanese cedar)
Lineage: Eukaryota; Viridiplantae; Streptophyta; Pinopsida; Cupressales; Cupressaceae
Exons: 2
Source: RefSeq, a predicted model, not a curated record